This 253-nucleotide ribosomal RNA is filed under the name uncultured bacterium. Its description in RNAcentral is "partial 16S ribosomal RNA". It matches the Rfam family "Bacterial small subunit ribosomal RNA", at positions 524 to 776 of the family's 1533-position model. The record is from RNAcentral.
UACGUAGGGUGCAAGCGUUAAUCGGAAUUACUGGGCGUAAAGAGUGUGUAGGCGGUGCUCUAAGUUUGGUGUGAAAUCUCCCGGCUCAACUGGGAGGGUGCGCCGAAAACUGGAAUGCUUGAACAUGGGAGAGGAAAGCGGAAUUCCUGGUGUAGCGGUGAAAUGCGUAGAUAUCAGGAGGAACACCUGCGGUGUAGACGGCUUUCUGGACCAUUGUUGACGCUGAGACACGAAAGCGUGGGUAGCAAACAGG